RNAcentral lists this ribosomal RNA (237 nucleotides) under [Clostridium] aminophilum. RNAcentral's name for it is "23S rRNA. Bacterial LSU". It matches the Rfam family "Bacterial large subunit ribosomal RNA", at positions 2685 to 2925 of the family's 2925-position model. Lineage: Bacteria; Bacillati; Bacillota; Clostridia; Lachnospirales; Lachnospiraceae. The record is from RNAcentral.
GAGAGGACCGGGAUGGACUGGCCGCUGGUGUAUCUGUUAGGAAUCAAUCCUAUGGCAGAGUAGCCAAGCCGGGAGGGGAUAAACGCUGAAGGCAUCUAAGCGUGAAGCCCCCCUCAAGAUGAGAUAUCCCAUUCGUAAGAAGUAAGACCCCUUAAAGAGUAUGAGGUUGAUAGGGCAGAGGUGGAAGUGCAGUAAUGCAUGCAGCUGACUGUCACUAAUAGGUCGAGGGCUUAUCCA